Long non-coding RNA from Uranotaenia lowii, 1749 nucleotides. RefSeq lists it as uncharacterized. The transcript is spliced from 6 exons. The record is from RefSeq and is a predicted model, not a curated record. NCBI's taxonomy places the organism in Eukaryota, Metazoa, Arthropoda, Insecta, Diptera, Culicidae.
UUCCGAAAGAUAAGAUUAAUGAUCUAGAAAAUUAUCCUUUCGCGCAUCUGAGUUUAAUGUGUCUUCGCUGCUGCUGUUGUCACGUCAGGAAAAAUAAACACGAGGCAUUUGCGGACCCGCACGGUUCUGGAAAAACCUUCGUGAUUAGGCCAGAAAAGCCAUAAAUGGCAAUAACAGGAAUUAAAAAUAAUCUCUCCUAGACCGACAACUACUUAAGCGGUGAAGCUCGACAAAGUAUCAAGGACAAACAUCUUUAUUCCACCGGACAAACACGGGAGCAGUUCCAGCGCUAAACCGCUGGGCCGGGACCCAGCACUACUUCGUCAACAGCAGCAGCGGUAAACAUAAUUCUGGUGUGAAAAAAACUUGUUCAGUCCUCAUCCAUGAUUGCGACCACAGACACCAGCAGCUACCGAUCAUAUCGCCAUCAUCACCGUCAGUGGCAAAAGCAGCACCACCAAAUACAACAUCAGCCGGAAGCGUUCCCUCGCACCACAACCCGUUUUCCGGUGGAAGAUAACGUAGCAAUAUAUUCCGCGGAAAAAUAAGUGCCGCAGUCAAUUCAAGUCAGAAUAAAAACCCGAGGCAUGUGGACCCGUAAGAUUCCGAAAAAGUGAUGAGCUCGACAAAGUACAGGAUGCAAUGAAAAACUCCAUCAUCCGGUCGGACAAAUACCGGAGCAGUUCCAGCACCAAAAAGGUGAACAUUGAGCCGGAACAACCAGUAUUACUUCAUCACAAGCCGCAGAACAUUACUCUGGCGGAAGAACCUCAUUUAGUUCCUCAGCCACGAUUGCGACAACCGACAACUGCCGCCGCUUAUCGUACCGCCAACACCACCACCAGCGUCAACAGCAGUACUACCGAAUCUAACAUCAGACAUUCGUCGGAAGCGUUCCUUCGCAUUAAUACCCGCUUUCCGGCGGAAGAAACCAUCUACACCGUAAGAAACGAAUCAGUUCAGCAGCAGCAGCGGCCAGUCCAGCAUCUGCCUCGAGGAGUCAGUUUUCUUCUCCCACAACAGAAGCGCACCAGGCGGCAGUUGGAAAAAAGAAGUUCGCUCACAAAAUCUUUCGCGCCACCGGUCAUUGCACAAGCAAACGGAAGCAGCAUCGAAAACAGCAAAAAUUCUCACUGGUUGUAACUACAGGAAUAACCCGAAAGGAGCGAACUCUGAUGUUUGAACCAGUUCUUCAUAGGAUCCCCCGUAAUCAGUAUUGAUAUUUUGCCCGCAGAACCUUCUGGCUGGAAGUGAACUGGAGAUAGACAUGCCGAAAAAUUUGUUCCGGGUUCAAUGACAUAAGUGUCCCCGGAUGAUGAGAUUUGAAAAAAAAGUUCCCCCGCGAAAUACUUCCAGCACCGUGGGUCGAAGGAAUCAGUGUGACGUGGAAAAAAAAUAAUACAAUGGCAACAUCUGCAAUGCAACGCAACGAGAAGCUGUGACAAACCUGGGUCGAAACUGGAGGGAUCUGUUUUUGAAGUUUGGAUCGUCGCCAGAUUGACUAUUCAGUCUUUUUCGUGGGUGAGAUGGGACAAAAAUGUUAACAUGAGGUGCCCUUAAACAACAAAGAAUGUUAUCGAAAGUGGACUUGAUGAUUAAAGAACCAACAAUGGAAACAUCACCUUCGACUAAACAGGAACGAUAUUUUCCGCACUAUUAACGGGAUAUUAAAACCCUUUUAUCGCCUUGUUCCCUUCCGGCUAAGGUUGACACAAAAAAGUUGCCAACAAAUUAAGAAACUGGAGCCAG